UGGGAACCUUCCCUAUGGUUCGGAAUAGCUCAGGGAAACUUGAGGUAAUACCGGAUAAGCCCUUACGGGGAAAGAUUUAUCGCCAUUGGAUGGGCCCGCGUCGGAUUAGCUAGUUGGUGAGGUAACGGCUCACCAAGGCGACGAUCCGUAGCUGGUCUGAGAGGGUGAUCGGCCACAUUGGAACUGAGACACGGUCCAGACUCCUACGGGAGGCAG
This 216-nucleotide ribosomal RNA is filed under the name uncultured bacterium. RNAcentral describes it as "partial 16S ribosomal RNA". It matches the Rfam family "Bacterial small subunit ribosomal RNA", at positions 118 to 351 of the family's 1533-position model. The record is from RNAcentral.